Molecule: ribosomal RNA, 466 nt
Filed under: uncultured beta proteobacterium
Lineage: Bacteria; Pseudomonadati; Pseudomonadota; Betaproteobacteria
Description: bacterial SSU rRNA
Rfam family: Bacterial small subunit ribosomal RNA
Source: RNAcentral
GGAGGAAAGCAGGGGAUCGCAAGACCUUGCGCUCUUGGAGCGGCCGAUGCCUGAUUAGCUAGUUGGUGAGGUAAAGGCUUACCAAGGCGACGAUCAGUAGCUGGUCUGAGAGGACGACCAGCCACACUGGGACUGAGACACGGCCCAGACUCCUACGGGAGGCAGCAGUGGGGAAUUUUGGACAAUGGGGGAAACCCUGAUCCAGCCAUGCCGCGUGAGUGAAGAAGGCCUUCGGGUUGUAAAGCUCUUUCAGCCGGAACGAAACGGUCACGGCUAAUACCUGUGACCACUGACGGUACCGGAAGAAGAAGCACCGGCUAACUACGUGCCAGCAGCCGCGGUAAUACGUAGGGUGCAAGCGUUAAUCGGAAUUACUGGGCGUAAAGCGUGCGCAGGCGGUUUUGUAAGUCAGAUGUGAAAUCCCCGGGCUUAACCUGGGAACUGCGUUUGAAACUACCAAAGCUAG